Molecule: transfer RNA, 50 nt
Filed under: Ceratitis curvata
Lineage: Eukaryota; Metazoa; Arthropoda; Insecta; Diptera; Tephritidae
Description: partial tRNA-Thr
Source: RNAcentral
AUCAAAAAUAAGAUUUAAUCUUUUUAAACUUCAAGAGAAAAAAAAAAUUU